Molecule: ribosomal RNA, 305 nt
Filed under: uncultured bacterium
Lineage: Bacteria
Description: bacterial SSU rRNA
Rfam family: Bacterial small subunit ribosomal RNA
Source: RNAcentral
UCCUACGGGGGGCAGCAGUAGGGAAUCUUCCACAAUGGACGAAAGUCUGAUGGAGCAACGCCGCGUGAGUGAAGAAGGGUUUCGGCUCGUAAAACUCUGUUGGUAGUGAAGAAAGAUAGAGGUAGUAACUGGCCUUUUUUUGACGGUAAUUAAUUAGAAAGUCACGGCUAACUACGUGCCAGCAGCCGCGGUAAUACGUAGGUGGCAAGCGUUGUCCGGAUUUAUUGGGCGUAAAGCGAGUGCAGGCGGUCUUUUAAGUCUGAUGUGAAAGCCUUCGGCUCAACCGGAGGAUUGCAUUCGAAACU